UCUAUUAGAUGAUAAUCAACAAUGUUAAUAUAAAGUGAAAACAAAGAACAAUUAAAUCUUUUCUGUGUCUGAGCUAUAUGAAUUUUUUUUACUAGUUACAGUUGCUGAUGGCCAAAUAUUGCUAUGUAACAUGUCUAGCAAGCUUCAGUAUAGGGAGGCGAAGACCCUGUCCAUCAUGACUUGUGUUUAUUACCCUAGCUUCAGACAUAGGAACCUUCUGCAGCUUGGAGUGGACUUGAGGUGUAGACAGUACUUAGCCAAACAGAUUGGACUUCAUCAGGUUAUGUUCUGUUUGACAUAGUAGCACAAGGGGUGCUGUGGUGAGACUGAAUGUCACAAACCAAAUUGGAUUGAGCCUGACUCAAUGGGCAGAGUAAGCCAGGGUCUGUUUGGACUGCUUGAGCAGCUUAAUUCUGUAGGAUGCUUAGUCUCCUCCAUGCCUCAAAGGCAUCAUGAAGGAAAGCACGAUCAUAUUUUGACUGGUUUUUUAACAAGUGGGCAAUAGAGCGGAGAAGACAACUAUAAAGGAAAUGGGAAAUAAUGAACAGGGUGGUGACUUUCUAUAGAUGCUCUUGGAAAAGAGGCUAAGUAAAUAAUGUUUGAUGCAACACAGAAGAGGAAACUAGCAGAAUGCUUCA
Long non-coding RNA from Neopsephotus bourkii (Bourke's parrot), 638 nucleotides. RefSeq lists it as uncharacterized. The record is from RefSeq and is a predicted model, not a curated record. Lineage: Eukaryota; Metazoa; Chordata; Aves; Psittaciformes; Psittacidae. The transcript is spliced from 2 exons.